UUUCUCUCUUUUCUUUGUCUUUAUUCUAAAUUUUUUCUUCCAUUUUCUUCUCAUUUCCACACCUACUCUCAGCCAAAAUUGGCACACAAAACCAGGUGUAGUACCCCCUUUUUAUAGGAAAGAAGGGGCGACACCAUGGGAUACCAACUCUUGGCAUCCCUUAAUUCUUACACACCACAACAUCAAUUUUAGCAUGAAAUCCCAAGAGCAAGGCA
Molecule: long non-coding RNA, 215 nt
Filed under: Elaeis guineensis (African oil palm)
Lineage: Eukaryota; Viridiplantae; Streptophyta; Magnoliopsida; Arecales; Arecaceae
Description: long non-coding RNA (EGUI_LNC055290)
Source: RNAcentral